GCGGUGAACGGCGAUGGCAUCACACCCAGUGCUGGAGAUGUCAUCACGUGCUACCGCGUUCCAUGAUGUCAUCCUCCAGCACCACGCGUGUCCAUCGGGAAAGAUGGAACGGC
This 113-nucleotide microRNA precursor is filed under the name Ornithorhynchus anatinus (platypus). Its description in RNAcentral is "microRNA oan-mir-1419d precursor". The stretch from base 12 to 97 matches the Rfam family "mir-1419 microRNA precursor family". Lineage: Eukaryota; Metazoa; Chordata; Mammalia; Monotremata; Ornithorhynchidae. The record is from miRBase by way of RNAcentral.